GUGUAAGAUGAUCACAGAAUGGUUAUCCACAGCUUCCCUGUUUCACCUGUUUCGUGUUUGGGAAGAUUGCUAGCUUUUCGGAUGAGAAUGUGAUUAAAGCUGAGCUAUCAGAAGUCCUGGAGAUUUUCAAAUGAAGAAGUUUUCUGUUCAUCUUCUACAUAUGUGAAGUCAUUCCUUCUGACCUGAGGGAGGAUGGUGUGAUCUAGCUAAGGAACCACUGAAACGUUUAUGUGCCAUGAAUUCAAACUUUUGAGCACAUAUGGGCAGGCUGCAGUAAAUUUGCUGCAGUAAAAUGCAGUAAAUACAAGCUCUGGACUCUAUGUCUCUUGCUACAGCCUUAGUAAUGCGGCAGUGACAUCCUAGCCACCUCCAGUUUUGUUCCCAGCACCAGAAAAGAGACCCACUUUACCCUCAUCAGUGAAACUACCGUACUUUCCACAUGCUCACAUACUCUGCUCCUUUCCCCUUCCGAGGCUUACAAUGUGUAGUCAUCUAUAAGGUUAACAGCCCCAGCUUCUUACGGCCUCUCCUGGAAGGAGUGAAUUAUCCGAGUAGUGGGUUUGGUGCAAGGAACUGGACAUAUCUAUCUCAUUCCCUUUUGUCUUUUCUCUGUGGAAUCGGCCAAGUUUCUGAAGCACAGUAGACGUUCCCUCGUUACCCAGUGUGGGAGGCUGGCAAGUCUCAGAGUUUCCAGCCUGGUUCCCAGCUGAAUGAGAUCUGUUCCUGUGGAACAAACGUGGGAAGCACAGUGUUAUUAAAAUGUUAUAUCUCAACUGCCAUAAAUGGGACAGUGUGAAGAAGGGAAACCAAUGCAAUAAGCAGCCCUGGAAACAGCCUGGGAUGACUUGUUUGAGAGCAGAGAGAUUAAAAGUUACUCUCCUGAGCCUUGCAAGUACAACGCUAGUCCAAAUCCUUCCUGAUAAGUAUCAAAUGGAGACAACCAGUUACAAGAAAUUCCUCCAGCAACAGAACAAAUAUUGGCACUCCAAGAAAUAAUCUACCGAUGGGAAUAGAGACACUGAAAGUCAUCCCACGGCUAGUCAGGCCUAAGUCCAGCAGAAAAUGCUCAUCUUGACAGAAUCAGGAAGAUGUCAAAGCAAGUGCAUUUCUAGUCAAUAUAAAAACAGUUAUCCUCAUUUUACCUCCUGUUGGCUGUUCUGUGUCUUCCCAUUUACUCUAGAGUUGUUCUUGCUAUGCUUUUGCUGUGGCAUCAGGGUCGAUUUAACCAAGAGACUCACUAGGUAUUUGCUGCUAGGUCAAUGGAGCAACUCCUGUAGUUCCCCUGACUAAUCCAAUGUUGACUGGAGAAGCUAAUUUUAUAGGGGCCACGGCUCCCUAUGUGAAAACAGUAUGCAGUGCUUACCUAUGGAACACAGCAUUAUGGAGCAGUGUAAAGAGACUAGAGUAGGGUUAAAUAAACUCCAGGCCCAUGCCA
RNAcentral lists this long non-coding RNA (1435 nucleotides) under Oryctolagus cuniculus (rabbit). Its description in RNAcentral is "lncRNA (ENSOCUG00000031567.1)". The record is from RNAcentral. Lineage: Eukaryota; Metazoa; Chordata; Mammalia; Lagomorpha; Leporidae.